UACGGGGGGGGCAAGCGUUGUUCGGAAUUAUUGGGCGUAAAGAGCUCGUAGGCGGUGUGUCGCGUCGGCCGUGAAAACCUGCAGCUUAACUGUGGGCUUGCGGUCGAUACGGGCAUCACUGGAGUUCGGCAGGGGAGACUGGAAUUCCUGGUGUAGCGGUGAAAUGCGCAGAUAUCAGGAGGAACACCGGUGGCGAAGGCGGCAUCCUGGACCGGUAUUGACGCUGAGGCGCGAAAGCCAGGGGAGCAAACGGG
Molecule: ribosomal RNA, 254 nt
Filed under: uncultured bacterium
Lineage: Bacteria
Description: partial 16S ribosomal RNA
Rfam family: Bacterial small subunit ribosomal RNA
Source: RNAcentral